Molecule: ribosomal RNA, 466 nt
Filed under: uncultured bacterium
Lineage: Bacteria
Description: partial 16S ribosomal RNA
Rfam family: Bacterial small subunit ribosomal RNA
Source: RNAcentral
GAGGAAAGCGGGAGGCGUGCUUAACACAUGCAAGUCGAACGAUGAAGCCCAGCUUGCUGGGUGGAUUAGUGGCGAACGGGUGAGUAACACGUGAGUAACCUGCCCUUAACUCUGGGAUGAGCCUGGGAAACUGGGUCUAAUACCGGAUAGGAGCGUCCACCGCAUGGUGGGUGUUGGAAAGAUUUAUCGGUUUUGGAUGGACUCGCGGCCUAUCAGCUUGUUGGUGAGGUAAUGGCUCACCAAGGCGACGACGGGUAGCCGGCCUGAGAGGGUGACCGGCCACACUGGGACUGAGACACGGCCCAGACUCCUACGGGAGGCAGCAGUGGGGAAUAUUGCACAAUGGGCGCAAGCCUGAUGCAGCGACGCCGCGUGAGGGAUGACGGCCUUCGGGUUGUAAACCUCUUUCAGUAGGGAAGAAGCGAAAGUGACGGUACCUGCAGAAGAAGCACCGGCUAACUACGUG